GACAGAGGGUGCAAACGUUGUUCGGAAUUACUGGGCGUAAAGCGUGUGUAGGCGGUUUGCUAAGUCGGGUGUGAAAGCCCCGGGCUCAACCCGGGAAGUGCACUCGAAACUGGCAGGCUAGAGUACUGGAGAGGUUGGUGGAAUUCUCGGUGUAGAGUUGAAAUUCGUAGAUAUCGAGAGGAACACCGGUGGCGAAGGCGGCCAACUGGACAGAUACUGACGCUGAGACACGAAAGCGUGGGGAGCAAACAGG
RNAcentral lists this ribosomal RNA (253 nucleotides) under uncultured bacterium. Its description in RNAcentral is "partial 16S ribosomal RNA". It matches the Rfam family "Bacterial small subunit ribosomal RNA", at positions 524 to 776 of the family's 1533-position model. The record is from RNAcentral.